This 24-nucleotide non-coding RNA is filed under the name Rattus norvegicus (Norway rat). Lineage: Eukaryota; Metazoa; Chordata; Mammalia; Rodentia; Muridae. The record is from RNAcentral.
UUGAAAACUACCUCUCCUUGGUCC